This 820-nucleotide long non-coding RNA is filed under the name Cricetulus griseus (Chinese hamster). RNAcentral's name for it is "lncRNA (ENSCGRG00015041150.1)". The record is from RNAcentral. Lineage: Eukaryota; Metazoa; Chordata; Mammalia; Rodentia; Cricetidae.
CAGCCUUUUCUUUCAGUGUUGAAUCAACCUUUGUGCCUUGGUUUUGGUUGCCAUGGUACUGGCAGGGAUAUGCCUCUGUGCCUGGUCCUUAGUCCAGAUCACUGGAGGUUUCUCCAUAAGUUAUAGAGGCCCUAGUGGAAAUUUUCUUAGUCUCAUUGCCUUCUGUGAAGCAGAUUAUUUAACUGCUUCCAUUGCUCUUAUUUUUGUUCAUCAAGAUGGUCUCCUGCUGGUGAAACUAGCAGUGGCUCUUGAAGUCCUGAUGAACAAUUCAAGAUUAAAUCAAGCACUAUGGCAACUGCUGCAAUCCACAGAUAGGAUCUUACCAUGAAGCUCAGGCUGUCCUGGAACCCACCCACCACAUAACCCCGGCUGGCCUCAGACUUGAGGCCAUCCUCCUGUCUUGGUCUCCUUGAUGUGUUAUAUUCAAGCUUGAGAAUCCUGAAGAUUUGUGUGCCACCAUCCUUUGUUCAAUAUACAGAAUCAUUCAAGUAAUUGACAUUAUAAGUUCAUGUUUAGUUCCUACUGAAACUACAUGAGUCCAUUACAACAUUGAGGGAAAGUGGGGUUGGUGUUCAGGGUUUCUCAAAAUUGAGGCACAAGUGGUACAUUACAUUUAGUCCAAAGCUGUCUUCUUCUGUAGCAAAAGGUAACUCUGCAGUAUACAGACAAACUGCAACCUAGUUUGAGACUAUAUUCUUUAACAAGUAGCCAAGUUUUUGCCAGUCAUAAUAGAUGAGUUUUUAAUCAAUGGUAGACUGCAAAACAAUGAAACAUGUCCAAAUAAAGCAACAACUGUUUCUAUAUGCCACUUCUGUUUUCU